Molecule: ribosomal RNA, 432 nt
Filed under: uncultured bacterium
Lineage: Bacteria
Description: partial 16S ribosomal RNA
Rfam family: Bacterial small subunit ribosomal RNA
Source: RNAcentral
ACGAACGCUGGCGGCAUGCCUAACACCUGCCAGUCGCACGAGACCUUCGGGUCUAGUGGCGCACGGGUGCGUAACGCGUGGGAACCUGCCCUUAGGUUCGGAAUAACUCCCCGAAAGGGGUGCUAAUACCGGAUAAUGUCUUCGGACCAAAGAUUUAUCGCCUUUGGAUGGGCCCGCGUUGGAUUAGCUAGUUGGUAGGGUAAAAGCCUACCAAGGCGACGAUCCAUAGCUGGUCUGAGAGGAUGAUCAGCCACACUGGGACUGAGACACGGCCCAGACUCCUACGGGAGGCAGCAGUGGGGAAUAUUGGACAAUGGGCGAAAGCCUGAUCCAGCAAUGCCGCGCGAGUGAUGAAGGCCUUAGGGUUGUAAAGCUCUUUUACCCGGGAUGAUAAUGACAGUACCGGGAGAAUAAGCUCCGGCUAACUCCGUG